CCUACGGGAGGCAGCAGUGAGGAAUAUUGGUCAAUGGCCGUAAGCCUGAACCAGCCAAGUCGCGUGAGGGAUGAAGGUUCUAUGGAUCGUAAACCUCUUUUAUCAGGGAACAAAGUGCGUGACGUGUCCCGCUUUGCAUGUACCUUAUGAAUAAGCAUCGGCUAACUCCGUGCCAGCAGCCGCGGUCAUACGGAGGGACCGAGCGUUAUCCGGGUUUGUUGGGUUUAAAGGGUGCGUAGGCGGCCUUUUAAGUCAGCGGGGAAAAUCUGUGGCUCAACCAUAGCAUUGCCGUUGAACUUGGGGGUAUUGAGUGAGGGUGAGGCAGGCGGAAUGCGUGGUGUAGCGGUGAAAUGCAUAGAUAUCACGCAGAACCCCGAUUGCGAAGGCAGCCUGCCGAGCCAUGACUGACGCUGAUGCACGAAAGCGUGGGGAUCGAACAGGAUUAGAUACCCCAGUAGUC
Molecule: ribosomal RNA, 460 nt
Filed under: uncultured bacterium
Lineage: Bacteria
Description: partial 16S ribosomal RNA
Rfam family: Bacterial small subunit ribosomal RNA
Source: RNAcentral